CUUUCAAUUUUGAGGGUAGAGAUCUGUACUUUGCCUAGUUCAAAGUUGUAAGUGUAAUACUUGCAAAUAUGUAAUGACUCGCAUCAGAAUGUUAGUGGUUUGUCUUAAUUUUUGAUAAUAUCUGAAUGUUGAACUCAAUUGAACAUGAGAUUGGAACUCACCAAUAUAUUUGUGUGACACUUUGACUUAAUUGGCAGGUAGUUGGGAUUAGAUGGUCAUCCAUUUUCUAUGUUGAGAAUAUAGCAAGAGUUAGGAAGCUCUCGUUGAGUGGCUUGCUUCUCUAUAAAUUAUGCAUGGCUGAUCAGUUAUUUGUGCAAUGGUCACAACUACAAAGGAAAUACUCCCGAGCAUAAUAUGUUGGCCAUCUCAUGUAAUUAAUUCAAUUCUGCUGCUGCUAGUGGUGAGCUGACAAAAUGAAAAUUGCAGUACAUGGUCAUGACCAGAGUAUUAGUGCUUCACAUGCGCAUCGAGGUGAAGCAGCAAUAAUUCACGUCAAUUGGAAGCAGUUGAGUUGCAAAACUAAUGAUUUUUGCAUACAUUGUUUUGUGGAGCUUAAGCUCAUCAUACUUUUGUAGUAAAGAAUGGAUUUUUGUUUUGGACUACAUGAAGUGCGUUGACUUUGAAAAAUAAACCAAUGAGGUUGAUCUCCUAAAUGUCUCUCCAUUCAUAAUCCACUUGCCUUCUUUUUGGCAAUCUCUGAGUUGUA
This is a long non-coding RNA of Telopea speciosissima, 706 nucleotides long. RefSeq lists it as uncharacterized. The transcript is spliced from 2 exons. The record is from RefSeq and is a predicted model, not a curated record. NCBI's taxonomy places the organism in Eukaryota, Viridiplantae, Streptophyta, Magnoliopsida, Proteales, Proteaceae.